This 30-nucleotide non-coding RNA is filed under the name Rattus norvegicus (Norway rat). The record is from RNAcentral. Lineage: Eukaryota; Metazoa; Chordata; Mammalia; Rodentia; Muridae.
UGACAACUACCGAAGACUUCCAACACUUAG